This 31-nucleotide non-coding RNA is filed under the name Mus musculus (house mouse). Lineage: Eukaryota; Metazoa; Chordata; Mammalia; Rodentia; Muridae. The record is from RNAcentral.
UGUUCUCAUGCAAACUGUUGAGUGUUCCUGU